ACCAGCGGCCGUAGCCGUGCGUGUCUACCGGUUCCCGUUCGAUCACCGAAGUAAAGAUGCACUGGGCGGCGUUCCGUAAGAAGAUGGGUGACCGCUCCACAAUCCGUCUCUGGAAAAACCGUGCUGCUGGUU
Molecule: non-coding RNA, 132 nt
Organism: Habropoda laboriosa
Lineage: Eukaryota; Metazoa; Arthropoda; Insecta; Hymenoptera; Apidae
Source: Rfam